GCCUGUUUAGCUCAGUCGGUAGAGCGCACGGCUGUUAACCGUUAGGUCAUAGGUUCGAGUCCUAUAACAGGCGCCA
This 76-nucleotide transfer RNA is filed under the name Bacillota bacterium. Its description in RNAcentral is "tRNA-Asn". It matches the Rfam family "tRNA". From Rfam's summary of the family: Transfer RNA (tRNA) molecules are approximately 80 nucleotides in length. Their secondary structure includes four short double-helical elements and three loops (D, anti-codon, and T loops). The record is from RNAcentral. Lineage: Bacteria; Bacillati; Bacillota.